GUGCCCUGAGGCAUGUCCCCAAGUGUCCCCAAAUGUCCCCAAGGGUGUCCUGGCACAUCCCCAGACCAGGCUGUGCCCUGAGGGGUGUCCUCAGAUAUC
This is a non-coding RNA of Sturnus vulgaris (Common starling), 99 nucleotides long. The record is from RefSeq and is a predicted model, not a curated record. NCBI's taxonomy places the organism in Eukaryota, Metazoa, Chordata, Aves, Passeriformes, Sturnidae.